RNAcentral lists this long non-coding RNA (1620 nucleotides) under Salmo salar (Atlantic salmon). Its description in RNAcentral is "lncRNA (ENSSSAG00000098972.1)". The record is from RNAcentral. Lineage: Eukaryota; Metazoa; Chordata; Actinopteri; Salmoniformes; Salmonidae.
AGAGACCUUUCUCUUGUCAUGUGUUGUGUGUCAUCACUCACUAGAAUCACCAUCCUGGCUGUAUGAGGUCAUGGUCACGGGAUUGAUCAGCACACAGCUUGAAUAGGUCUCAGUUUGACUUGGAGUUGUUGUUCACAGGGUAAAAAACAACAACAUAAGUAUAGCUGGUUUCUGCUGGUCGGUAACGUAGCUCGUCUAAAGAACAGCCUGUGCUUGAUGGAACAGAGGCCUGAGAUCCAUCCAGUCCAGCUCUGUGAUUGGCUGGAGCAGCAUUGCGGUGUCACCGCACAGGCCUUUAAUUGUUGGAAUGGGAAUCCAACGAUACUGUCUCAGUACAUGGAGUAGGAGAUUCCCAUGAAGCUUCCCCCUGUCUUUGAAGAUAUACAGCUUUGUUUAUCUGGCUUCUUGUUUUGUCAUGAGCUAUAAAAACAAAUAAAUAUUUGAUUGCCAUUUUAACACAAUACUGUAGCGAUCAUUUCUUAUUAAGAAAUUAUUCAGUUGAUGAAUUGCUGCCAUUCUUUUUAAAUAUUGAAAAGAAAACCAUGGAAAAUACCACAAGUGUUUUCUUUGAACAGUUUGUGUACAGUUUUUAUUUUUGUAUCAUUCUGGUGGAUGGUCUAGAAACAGAACUAUAAUGACAUAUUGAUAAUAUAACUGUUAGCGUUAUCACCGCUUGUUUUGUAUAUUUUGUAAUGUUAGAUUGUAAAUUAGAAAUGUAUUCAGGUCAUUAUCAUUGAUAAUUAACCACGUUUAGUUAUAAGAAAAUAACUAAAUCAGUAAAACACUACUGGCCACAGCAUCACGUUUCCUUCUCUUUUUCUGUCCUCAUCUUUCCUCUGUCUUUCUCUUUUGUGCUAUCAUUGUUCUCACACAGAGAAAUGUGUACAUUUCAUUAUUAGAUUAUUAGAUGGAUUGGAGGAAUCAGGAUCAGAUGAAUCAUCAGAAAAAUGAAAAUAUUUUGUACCAGAACUUUAUUUUAAGGGAGGUUGUAGGGUAGACAAUGUGGUUGAAGUAGUAUGUGGGUACAGUAUGUGUUUUUUGGAGGAUUUGGUAGUUAUGUCUCACACUGGUUCCGUUGGACCUGGUUUCAAGCCUUAGUUUUUUUUCUAUUGUGCUAUUCCAUGUAUGCCCAUGCCAUAUUGCGCAAGUCAUAAUCAAUGAAAACUAUUCAUUAUCAAUAUGCCAUGUAGGAGUGAUGGUGAGUAAUUGACAGAUGUGUAUGGUGAAGCAAGAGGUAAAAAACAAGAGGGUUCUGAGAGAGACAUUGUGUAGCCAUUUUGAAAUGAGCACCUCCACUUCUUGGUCAGUUUUGUCAUAUUAGACUCCCUCCGAGAACAAUUAUCUGGGCUUUAAAUCAUGUGUUACUUGUUCACAAGUUAGGAAAAUUAUAUAAAUGGAAAAAACACCAUGAAAUGAUUGUAAUAUUUGUAAAUUAUAUUGCUGUAAUGUGUAAAAUGUGUCCAAGUUAUUUUUUAUUAUAUUAUUUUUAUGAAAGGUUUUCUUCUGAGAGAACUGAGGUGUUAUUUUGUGAAUAAAAUGCAUUUAAUAAGCAAACAGCUAUAUAAUACAAUUAUAUAUCAGUCUAUUUUUAUUUUAUUUCACUGUUCGGUACUGUAAAGU